This 245-nucleotide long non-coding RNA is filed under the name Mytilus galloprovincialis (Mediterranean mussel). The record is from RNAcentral. Lineage: Eukaryota; Metazoa; Mollusca; Bivalvia; Mytilida; Mytilidae.
UAAUUUUUAAACUAGAGGCUCUAAAGAGCCUGUGUCGCUCACCUUGGUCUUGUGCAUAUUAAACAAUGGACACGGAUAAAUUCAUGACAUAAUUGUGUUUUGGUGAUAGUGAUGUGUUUGUAGAUCUUAUUUUACUGAACAUUCUUGUUGCUACAAUUAUCUCUAUCUAUAAUGAACUUGGCCCAGUAAUUACAGUGGAAAAUAUUUUCUAAAAAUUUACAAAAAUUUAUGAAAUUUUUUUAAAA